UUGCGACAGAUUUCUUCGGGAUGAAGUUGCUUAUGACUGAGUGGCGGACGGGUGAGUAACGCGUGGGUAACCUGCCUUGUACUGGGGGAUAGCAGCUGGAAACGGCUGGUAAUACCGCAUAAGCGCACAAUGUUGCAUGACAUGGUGUGAAAAACUCCGGUGGUAUAAGAUGGACCCGCGUCUGAUUAGCUAGUUGGUGAGAUAACAGCCCACCAAGGCGACGAUCAGUAGCCGACCUGAGAGGGUGACCGGCCACAUUGGGACUGAGACACGGCCCAGACUCCUACGGGAGGCAGCAGUGGGGAAUAUUGCACAAUGGAGGAAACUCUGAUGCAGCGACGCCGCGUGAGUGAAGAAGUAAUUCGUUAUGUAAAGCUCUAUCAGCAGGGAAGAUAGUGACGGUACCUGACUAAGAAGCUCCGGCUAAAUACGUGCCAGCAGCCGCGGUAAUACGUAUGGAGCAAGCGUUAUCCGGAUUUACUGGGUGUAAAGGGAGUGUAGGUGGCCAUGCAAGUCAGAAGUGAAAAUCCGGGGCUCAACCCCGGAACUGCUUU
This 554-nucleotide ribosomal RNA is filed under the name uncultured bacterium. RNAcentral's name for it is "bacterial SSU rRNA". It matches the Rfam family "Bacterial small subunit ribosomal RNA", at positions 64 to 627 of the family's 1533-position model. The record is from RNAcentral.